This 441-nucleotide ribosomal RNA is filed under the name uncultured bacterium. Its description in RNAcentral is "bacterial SSU rRNA". It matches the Rfam family "Bacterial small subunit ribosomal RNA", at positions 29 to 507 of the family's 1533-position model. The record is from RNAcentral.
AGUGAACGUUGGCGGCGUGGAUUAGGCAUGCAAGUCGAGCGAUCGUAGCAAUACGGGAGCGGCAAACGGGGUAGGAAUACAUCGGAACGUACCUUUUGGUUGAGAAUAGCGUUGGGAAACUGACGGUAAUACUCAAUAAAGUCGAGAGACCAAAGGUUUACUGCCGGAAGAGCGGCCGAUGCGAUAUUAGGUAGUUGGUGGGGUAAUGGCCUACCAAGCCUGAGAUGUCUAGGGGGUGUGAGAGCAUGGCCCCCACCACUGGGACUGAGAUACUGCCCAGACACCUACGGGUGGCUGCAGUCGAGGAUCUUCGUCAAUGGGCGAAAGCCUGAACGAGCGACGCCGCGUGCGGGAUGAAGGCCCUUGGGUUGUAAACCGCUGUCAGGGGGAUGAAACCGUAAGGUUGACAGAGCCCCAGAGGAAGCACGGGCUAAGUUCGUG